AUAAGAAUGAUGCUGGAGUUUUGCCAGAAGUAAGUUUGGCAGUCGGAACCCUGACAUAGUAACAUCUGGCCAUUUCCCAACAAAUAAAUGAAGACAUAAUUGACUGGCUAAGAAAAAUGUCAGCAGACUACACAAUAACAAAUAUAGAUAUCAGAAUGAAUGGAGAGCAGAAUAGGCAACACGUGUAAGAAAGCAAGACAAGUGUCUUUAAAGAAC
This is a non-coding RNA of Pelobates cultripes (western spadefoot toad), 216 nucleotides long. Lineage: Eukaryota; Metazoa; Chordata; Amphibia; Anura; Pelobatidae. The record is from the annotation of a GenBank genome assembly.